UUUUUUUUUUUUUUUUUUUUUUUUUGUCGACACGAUAGAAUUCUUAUAACCUAAACUAGCCUAUUCUAGAGGGGAAGGGGAGGGGACUUGAUGUGAGUAGAAACUCCAUCGAAACUGGUCAAAGAAGACCGUUACAUAUUGUGACAAAUUUUGUGGGAGGCAAGGUUCGAACCCUUGACCUCUCGCACUACCAAGCCUAAGAAGGCUUGGGAUGACCACUGGACCAAAGGCCCAAUGGCGAACAAAUAAGGUUGGGAUGGCUUCAUCCGUCUCAAAUGCAAAUUUGAAUUCCAACGGAGGUCUGACAAAAAAUAAACAAAACUAAAGGUGAAAGUAAGAAAUUUGUAAAUGUCUUGUUUACCAUUUUGGGUAAGUCACAAUAAUUUUGGAACAGACCAAAAUGACAAGCAUCACAUUUUAUGGAAAUAAGGGAAUAACUACUCCUAAAACAAAAUUGCAUCGGCAACAGACAAAAUUAUAGCAUCUGAAGUGUAUGAAAAAAAAAAAAAAACAAAUUGGACUGCAUUGAACUCAUCCCUGUCGUUGGAUAGAACAACCACUGCACUGUGAAAAUGGUAGAAAAAACUUGGGUAUCAUUGAUCUAAGAAUGAGAAAAUCUCAAAUUGGAUUGAUGUUAAAUAAAAAUAAAAAAUAUAAUAAUCUUAAUAGUAAUAAUAAAAUAAAAACUAGUAGCAUUAAUAUUCAGCAAUUUUGAAAUAUUAGUAACAUCUAUCUAACAAUAGAGAAAGAGUUUUUCUCCCUAUAAAAAUAACUUCAUCCCAUCCAACUGAAUUGAAUUACAUUAUCAUUCAACUAAAUUGAAUUACAUCAUUAUUCUACAAUAAAACCGGCAUUUUUAUUCCACCAUUAUUUAAAUCAAUAGAUAUCAAGCUUGUGCUAAUUUAGGGAGUAUAGAUUGUGUCCACCACAAGGUGCAGGGCAGGUGAUCUACGUUCUUAUGAAGUUGUAUAAAUUCUUACCUCUGUCAAAAUAUUUGGCCCUCUAACUGUUUUGCAAAUCAGCUUUGGAUAUGUAUUAGUUAUACUUUUAACUACAUUUGAAAAUGUGUUUGGAUUGUAUUGAUUUCCAAGUAUAAUAGUAUGAAGUGCUAACGAAUUUAAUAGGUUGAAACAAUUUUGUAAAAAUAUUUCCGUAUCUAAAUAUUUUUGUUGAUAUAAAUUAUUAUAACUACCAUGUUUAAGAUAUUCAUAUCUUCAAAAGGUUUGGUCCACAAUUUUAUCAAAAUGAUUGCUUUUAAAAUCUCGCCAAUACCUACCAAGAUUGUCUAUAAGUAAUUAAACUUUAAUAAAAGAAAAAUCAUGCAAAAUUGUAAAAAAAAUUGGGUAGAUGUUUAUGUUAUUUAUAUUGUCUUUGUUCAUCAAUUUUUUUGUAAAUUUUUUAUUUUUAUUCGCAAUUUGAUUAUAAAAUUGAUUAUAGAAAAUCAUUGUGUUCAGUGAACUAGAGUAGGCAUGUUAGUAUAGAGGAUCAAAUUGGAUGAUAAGGGGAGAGGGAUUCUAAAUAAGAGGUUUUGGAUUCAAGAUCUCCUACUUACAAAAAAAAAAAGGUAUGUUAAUGCAACAAUAGCCUCCGCAUAAUAAUGUUACUAUAUAAUAAUGCAUGAGUAUGGUUUGGAGUUUACAAAGGUGUUAGCAUUUACCCAUCCAAAAAUAUCCUUCCAACAUUUACUAUUAUCUAUCCCCAUCUUAUUUGGAAAAUCUUCGCUCGUACAUAACUAACACUACAUACGAUGACUACAUUCCCAUUAACUGAUUCACUAAUCCAAUAAUGAACAUUGCACCACCACCCAAAAUUCUCUCCAACUAAUUUUUUAUUUUAUAUCUACUUUAUUAUUUGCUUUUUUCUAAAAUAUGCACACUAAUACUAAAAUAUGUUUUUUUUUUCUAAAUUAGUGUGUUCCACACCUACUAGUUGACAGGUUGUCAGCCUGUGCAAUAAUAAAACCUGCUCAAACUAAAAGUAAUUUCUGUAGAUAGCGGUAAGCAGGGUCGAAUCCACAGGGACUGGGAGUAAUUGUUUCUUUUCAAAUUCACAGUGACAAAGGGGGGUGUUUUUGUGUAGAAGGUGACAAUAAAAGAAGUUCAAAUAAAAUCUAAGAAACUACUAAAAAUUAAAUAACAAAUUACUAAAAUCAAAUGAAUGAUAAUUAAGGAUCUAGCCAAGGAAUAACUUCAGCAAUGGUUCACCUAAUUGAUCAUCGAUGCAAAGCCAAUUCCAAUUAUUUAUCAAUAAAUAGGUUAUAACUACCAAACAAGCGAUGGCAGUCAACCCCUCCUUACUGUGUCGGUGAUCAAGGUACGCCCGUUAAUCACUGCUCUAAUUGAGAAAUAAUCCUAGGUACGCCCGUAAAAUUUAAUUCCCCAAUUGCCUUACGUAUUAGAGGAGCCCUAUUCUAACCAAAUAACGCACUACCAGGGUUAUUUUAGAUUAGCCCGCGUAUUCCCCUGACACAAACCUAAUCAUGCCAGUUGUCACUAUUUUAGAGCAAUUAAACAAUUACGGAUUUAAUGCCCUAAUUGACAAUAGAUUACCCAAUCAACUAAUUAUCUGGAUCCAAGACAAUCAAUUAAUUAAACAACCAUAAGCACUGCAACCAGGGAAUAUGCGAAUACCAAUAAAUAAAAGGAAAAGAUUAAAUUAAAUUGAUCUCACAAUUUUAGAUGACCCAAAGCAUCCGUUGUCCCUUGACUAGAUAAAAGAGUUUAGCUCAUUGUUGAUGAGAAAAACCCAUACAAAACUGACGCAAAAGCUGCGGCCAUGGUCUCCGAUUUAGUGGACCCAAUUCGUUUGAAUCAUCAAAUGAAAAGCUAAACUACAAAAGUGAUUGCUUCACUCUAAUGGUCCCUGCCAUCCGCAGGGAGCCACUACUCAAAAACGGCCAUGGAAAAGUCAAAGUGAAAAACUAAAAACAGUGCUUGCUCUCUGCAGUUUUUAUAUCUGUCUAGGUCCUACUCUAGUUACUCACUAACAUCCCCCUUGUGCGGCGGCUCUCAAUAAGAAGACUCCUCGUUUCCGUCCUUUUGCCUUCCGCAAUUACUAAAAUGGGCACAAGUUUGCCUUUGCCAACAAUGCCCCCGGGAUAAGCUCUGUGCCUUGGACUCCUUUUCUAUCAAAUUAGCACUUGUUAUUAUAUUUUCGUUCUACUCCCUGAAAUAUAUGCCAAAUACUAAAAAUGAGUAGAAUCCAGCAAUUAAUCCACAUCGGGUCAGGUAAUAGGGAAAAUUAAUAAUAAAAUAAAUGAUAAAAUUGCAAUCUAUCAAUUCCCCCCACACCUAAACCAUGCUUGUCCUCAAGCAUAAGAACAACAAACAAACAUCCAUGUUUGAUAAUGGCCAUUGCUCCAUCUAUCUUAUUGCCAAGAUACCAAGAAAAAUAUAUAUCAAGCAUCAGUGAUCAAGAUCCAAGAAACAUCACUCCGGUUAGCUUCUAAACCACAAACUCCUCCAAUUUCAGGUUAACUAAUCUAAGAAAAAGGAAUGACGCGCAACAUUUAUCAGCAAAUGGUCCAACUAUUAACCAAAAUCUCAACAUUAAAUCCAUAAUUCGGCAAGCUGACUUUUAUUACACACUAACACAACCUUCACCUUUUUUUCACAUUUUUUUUUCUACUUUUCUCUUCUUUUUUUUUUUUUUUUAAGAGAAACAAAAGACUUAGUCGCUAGCCAUUUGAGCCUUUUGACGCGAACUCCAACAUUGGCCAGAUGAAGGAGCCCGGUUACUCAGCUUCUAUCGCCACGUGACCACGUACUCAUAGCAAUUACUACUUUUUGACGCGAGAAUCGACACUUUUGGUGAAGAUCCCCGGUUACUCGGUAGUAAAUACUAGCGGAGUACAGUCAACUCUUAUUCACAGCCAAAUAAUACCAAAAAUUCAAAAUAACACAAAAAUCAAAAAGAACUUUACAGCCGCUAGCCUCAUUUCCAAAUAUGGAGAACUAAGAUUAAUAACCGGACCAAUUCACAUGAAAAUGCUAACAAUCAUUCCCUAUGCCUAGGAAAGUUAACCAAAAAUUAUAAGAGUAAAACAAUCAUCGAUAUUCACCAAAGAGAUGUUUUUGGAUUCAACCACAUGAAUUUGAUACAUUCUUAUUUUAAAAACUUGGCAAAAGCAGAAAUAGAGGCAAUAAUCCAACAUCAAACCUUGGCAUGCACUUACGAGCCAAUCACUAAAAAGAAGAAACAGAAAAUGAACGAAAGACACUAGUACCAUAACUGCUCCCCCCACACCUAAAUCCUACAUUGUCCUCAAUGGAGGUAAUAAAGUAAUGAAAGCGAAGAGAACAAUGAAACUUCCCUGUUGAAUAGCUAAGGUAUAGGAGGGAACAGUGGAGGGAAGCCGAGUUCUGAGACAUCCUUGCCACUUGGCGGGUGAUGUUCGUCAUUCGCUCAUCUACGUUGUGAACCUGUGCUUGUAAGUGGCGCCACUCACCAUUGUCGCCAAUUAUCACCCCAAACAACAAAAGACAGAAUAUCCAACAAAGAUGGCAACCAACAAAUGCAAAUCCAUAGGCACUGGUGUUCCCCAACUCAAUAGUCAAAUGCAAAAGCAAACACGGGCACCCAAGCCCAAAUAUGGUCAACAAAGCAACAGUUGCACUCCGAAACUAACAACCAGUAACUAUUAUCAACAACUGGAAACUAGCAAGGUCACGUCAAUAAGCACAGGGGCUACCCAAAUCAGUAAGUCAACAAACGAACUCGGGCCGUCCACGAUCUCAACAAAUGCACUCUAAAAUUUUAACGAAUGCCCCCACCUGUCAAACCAUGACAAUUGCCCCCGAUUAUAUGCUAAAUUAGCAAUAGAAGUGUAGAAAGAAGCAAUAGCAACACAGGCACACGGUCUUGGCAGUUGAUCAAAUAUCCAACCAACUAGAGUUAACAAGUUCCAGAUAAAAUAUUCCAAUAAUAGCACCUAAAGACUCAACAAAUACCCCUAGCAGUAAGCCUCAAGAAGUGAACAAGUCAAGCAAUAGUAGUGGAAAACUCUGACAUUAACAACUGAAUCUCAAACCCCCAGCAUUUCAACUAGAUGCACUGAACUGGAAUAAGCAAUGUAGAGGGUAUAGAAGCCUCCCAAUUUAACAAACAAGUGCAAUAUUUCAGCUCACUCAAAUACUCAACAAAUGGCUCCAGUUGGCCAGUAGAAGUCGCAACCCAAAAUCAGCAAUUUCAAGGAUAACAGCUCAGGGCUUGGACAAUAAUCACUUAGCCAACCAAAUAGAAGUACCCAAUUGAGGUCCAAUCACCCCACCAGUACCACUGGUGUAGUAAACUAUGGAAGAGAAAUCACACACCACCAAUAUCAGGCCACCGACAAACCAAAAUAACAAUUAACACUGCUCACAAUUGAGAAUCGCAACAAUCAAAACACAAGCAAAGCUGCCUCCCAAUUAGCAAAAGACAAUUUCACAAAUCCAGCCCACCCAAAAACUCGACAAAUGUACCCACAAGUUCAACAAAUAUUCUCACGAGUAUGGCAAACUAGGAAUGAACAAGAUCUGGGUCAAAUAUCACAACCAGUACCACUGGUUUACCACACAAUUGAAGAAAUAACCCCCAACGGCCAACAAUACCAAUUAUUGAGAAACCAGACAGCACCAAUGAAUAUUAAGAAAUUGGGGAAUAAAUUCCAAAUACCUCCACCGAAGAGAGUAGCGUGCGAGGUUGGCUGGGGCUGUUGGCAGCGUCCAAGUGCUUCGGUGGCGGCGUUGGCUCGCGAUGGAGCUGCGGCGGAGCUGGCUAUGCGAGCAGAGAGGGACCAGCGAGCUAGAGUGGCGCGCGCAGACAGCGGAGGGAACUUCAGCAGCGGCGACGGUGGAGAGGCGGGUGAGCUGUGAUGGCAGCGCGAGGGAGAUGGGCGGCGCUGCUGCGGUGAGAUCGAGCUGGUGGUGGCGCAAUUUGGCGUGCGGCGGUGGAGCUUCGUGCGCAGAGCAGCUGUGGCCGCGGCGUCUUCGAGCGAGGAGUUGCUGCGUGACGGCCGAGGGCGCUUCAGCAGCGGCGGCGGACAGAGGGCUUCGGUCAACAGAGAGGAAGAAGAAACAGGGGAGAAGAAAGAAAGAAAAGAGAGAAGAAGAAAGAAAGAAAGAAAGAAAGAAAAAGAAAGAAAAGAAAAGAAAGAGAAAUUGUUUUUUUUUUUUUAUACUUAAAAAAUCUAAGCUACGGUGAAACAAAAAAUUAAAUAUUUUUUUAAUUUUUUAAUAUUUUUUUUAAAUUUUAAAAAAAAAAUUUUCUUUUUUUUUUCAUUGGCAAAUUUCAUUUUCGAGAUUCAAAAGCAGAGAUAACCAACAAUCAACAACUGUUCUUGAAUUUUUUUAAAUACUUAUCUCUCCCGCAACGUGACGUGGGCACGCCAUGAAGGCACGGAAUCUGGAGCUCUCCAUAUGACAUGACGCAGCACGUCAUGAGGGCAGGAGAGCUCUCUGACCGUGAGCUUUCUGUUCAUCAUGGCGCAGGCGCGCCGAGUCAGAUAGACACCUACAACUCACCAAAAACGAAAAUUUCAAAUCCGAAACCAAUCAAACUCAAGGAAAACAUAUUUAAACUAUCACACGAAAUCAAAACAAAUAAUCAAAAGAAAUAAUUGGGUUGCCUCCCAAUGAGCGCCUUUCUUUAAUGUCUUUGGCUAGACAUUAUCACGUUUUGUUCAUGGAGGAUAAAAUCUUGUGGCUCGUCUUAAUGCUUCAUCCUCUAUAUAGUCCUGAUAGCCCUCGUAAAUAGAGUAAUCCUUGAGCUCACGAGCUACGGUCUUCCCUGGACUAGUAAAUGGCACCAAACAAGUCGAUGAUAAUUUGCAUUCUCCAUUCACUCCUCCCUCACUUGCAUUUAUUGGUACAAGAUAUCUUGCCAUCGCCACUCUUAAUUUAUUCCUGUCAUGAAAUUCAAAAUUGUCUGGUAUAAUAAAGUCAAUUUCAUUAACAGGAAUUGAAGAGUAAGAGUCAGGAGAAUAGUGAUGAAGGAGUGGAGGGGAUGUCACCGCAUUUGGAGAUUGUUCACUGGAUUCAUUCACUUGAAUGAGUUGAUCCUGGAGUCUCAUUUUUUGCACUUCAACUUCCUUUUCAACUGCAUCUUUAAAUCCGUUUCCUUGAAACUCUUGCAGUUCCAUGUCAUUUGGCCGGAUAAUUGCACUCUCAUCUCCUUCAAGAUUGAUAUUGGUUUGUGAGGGCAAUUCUUCAAGGUGAGAAGCUAAUCGCUCUAUCCUGGAUGUCAAUUGACGCAUUUGAUCCGCCAGGUCGCGAAGGCUCGCUUGUGUCUCCUGAUGAAAUCGAUUUAGACUCGCUUGUGUCUCCUGAUGAAAUCGAUUUGUAUUAGCAAUUAGUAAUUCCAUCAUUUCUUCAAGAGACAUACCUGACACGGAGGAUGAUUGCUGAGACUCUUGCUGUUGAAAAUCCAUUGGCCCCGUCGCAUAAUUAAAAUUGGAAUUAUCCCACCAUCCUUGAUCAUACCUGUUUGGAUAAGGGUCAUACCACGUUUGAAAUCGUGAUGGAAAAUCUCCAAAAGUAUCAACUAGAGCACUUAGAUUAUCUUGAAAUGCGGGGCAUGUGUCGGUUGAAUAAUUUGAGGCAAAAUAAGUUUCACAAUUUGCAACAGCCCAUUGAUCAUUAGGAAAAACACGAGUCUCAUAACCCCAUUCAGGAAUAAAGUCCAGUCUAUCAUCAAAAUACGGAAUGUUAGCAGCCAUAAAAAAAAAUAAAAAAAAUAAGAGAAAAAUAAAUUAAAAAAAAAAUGAAAACAAGAUAAACUCAAAAAGAAACAAAUUAAUCUGGCACCAGUCCCCGGCAACGGCGCCAAAAAUUGACAGGUUGUCAGCCUGUGCAAUAAUAAAACCUGCUCAAACUAAAAGUAAUUUCUGUAGAUAGCGGUAAGCAGGGUCGAAUCCACAGGGACUGGGAGUAAUUGUUUCUUUUCAAAUUCACAGUGACAAAGGGGGUGUUUUUGUGUAGAAGGUGACAAUAAAAGAAGUUUAAAUAAAAUCUAAGAAACUACUAAAAAUUAAAUAACAAAUUACUAAAAUCAAAUGAAUGAUAAUUAAGGAUCUAGCCAAGGAAUAACUUCAGCAAUGGUUCACCUAAUUGAUCAUCGAUGCAAAGCCAAUUCCAAUUAUUUAUCAAUAAAUAGGUUAUAACUACCAAACAAGCGAUGGCAGUCAACCCCUCCUUACUGUGUCGGUGAUCAAGGUACGCCCGUUAAUCACUGCUCUAAUUGAGAAAUAAUCCUAGGUACGCCCGUAAAAUUUAAUUCCCCAAUUGCCUUACGUAUUAGAGGAGCCCUAUUCUAACCAAAUAACGCACUACCAGGGUUAUUUUAGAUUAGCCCGCGUAUUCCCCUGACACAAACCUAAUCAUGCCAGUUGUCACUAUUUUAGAGCAAUUAAACAAUUACGGAUUUAAUGCCCUAAUUGACAAUAGAUUAUCCAAUCAACUAAUUAUCUGGAUCCAAGACAAUCAAUUAAUUAAACAACCAUAAGCACUGCAACCAGGGAAUAUGCGAAUACCAAUAAAUAAAAGGAAAAGAUUAAAUUAAAUUGAUCUCACAAUUUUAGAUGACCCAAAGCAUCCGUUGUCCCUUGACUAGAUAAAAGAGUUUAGCCCAUUGUUGAUGAGAAAAACCCAUACAAAACUGACGCAAAAGCUGCGGCCAUGGUCUCCGAUUUAGUGGACCCAAUUCGUUUGAAUCAUCAAAUGAAAAGCUAAACUACAAAAGUGAUUGCUUCAUUCUAAUGGUCCCUGCCAUCCGCAGGGAGCCACUACUCAAAAACGGCCAUGGAA
RNAcentral lists this long non-coding RNA (8783 nucleotides) under Coffea arabica (coffee). Its description in RNAcentral is "long non-coding RNA (CARA_LNC006791)". The record is from RNAcentral. Lineage: Eukaryota; Viridiplantae; Streptophyta; Magnoliopsida; Gentianales; Rubiaceae.